GAUGAACGCUGGCGGCGUGCCUAAUACAUGCAAGUCGAGCGAACGGACGAGAAGCUUGCUUUUCUGAUGUUAGCGGCGGACGGGUGAGUAACACGUGGAUAACCUACCUAUAAGACUGGGAUAACUUCGGGAAACCGGAGCUAAUACCGGAUAAUAUUUUGAACCGCAUGGUUCAAAAGUGAAAGACGGUCUUGCUGUCACUAAUAGAUGACUCCGCGCUGCAUUAGCUAGUUGGUAAGGUAACGGCUUACCAAGGCAACGAUGCAUAGCCGACCUGAGAGGGUGAUCGGCCACACUGGAACUGAGACACGGUCCAGACUCCUACGGGAGGCAGCAGUAGGGAAUCUUCCGCAAGGGGCGAAAGCCUGACGGAGCAACGCCGCGUGAGUGAUGAAGGUCUUCGGAUCGUAAAACUCUGUUAUUAGGGAAGAACAUAUGUGUAAGUAACUGUGCACAUCUUGACGGUACCUAAUCAGAAAGCCACGGCUAACUACGUG
Molecule: ribosomal RNA, 497 nt
Filed under: uncultured bacterium
Lineage: Bacteria
Description: partial 16S ribosomal RNA
Rfam family: Bacterial small subunit ribosomal RNA
Source: RNAcentral